ACUCCUACGGGAGGCAGCAGUGGGAAGUAUUGCACAAUGGGGGAAACCCUGAUGCAGCCAUGCCGCGUGUGUGAAGAAGGCCUUGGGUUGUAAAGCACUUUCAGUAGGGAGGAAGGUAGUGUAGUUAACACCUGCAUUAUUUGUACGUUACCUACAGAAGAAGCACCGGCUAACUCCGUGCCAGCAGCCGCGGUAAGUACGGAGGGUGCGAGCGUUAAUCGGAAUUACUGGGCGUAAAGCGCAUGCAGGCGGCCUGUUAAGUCAGAUGUGAAAGCCCGGGGCUUAACCUCGGAAUUGCAUUUGAAACUGGCAGGCUAGAGUCUUGUAGAGGGGGUUAGAAUUUCAGGU
This 348-nucleotide ribosomal RNA is filed under the name uncultured bacterium. RNAcentral describes it as "bacterial SSU rRNA". It matches the Rfam family "Bacterial small subunit ribosomal RNA", at positions 335 to 674 of the family's 1533-position model. The record is from RNAcentral.